CCUACGGGUGGCAGCAGUAGGGAAUCUUCCGCAAUGGACGAAAGUCUGACGGAGCAACGCCGCGUGAGUGAUGAAGGCUUUCGGGUCGUAAAACUCUGUUGUUAGGGAAGAACAAGUGCUAGUUGAAUAAGCUGGCACCUUGACGGUACCUAACCAGAAAGCCACGGCUAACUACGUGCCAGCAGCCGCGGUAAUACGUAGGUGGCAAGCGUUAUCCGGAAUUAUUGGGCGUAAAGCGCGCGCAGGUGGUUUCUUAAGUCUGAUGUGAAAGCCCACGGCUCAACCGUGGAGGGUCAUUGGAAACUGGGAGACUUGAGUGCAGAAGAGGAAAGUGGAAUUCCAUGUGUAGCGGUGAAAUGCGUAGAGAUAUGGAGGAACACCAGUGGCGAAGGCGACUUUCUGGUCUGUAACUGACACUGAGGCGCGAAAGCG
RNAcentral lists this ribosomal RNA (432 nucleotides) under uncultured bacterium. Its description in RNAcentral is "bacterial SSU rRNA". It matches the Rfam family "Bacterial small subunit ribosomal RNA", at positions 338 to 761 of the family's 1533-position model. The record is from RNAcentral.